This 392-nucleotide ribosomal RNA is filed under the name uncultured bacterium. Its description in RNAcentral is "partial 16S ribosomal RNA". It matches the Rfam family "Bacterial small subunit ribosomal RNA", at positions 523 to 918 of the family's 1533-position model. The record is from RNAcentral.
AUACGGAGGAUCCGAGCGUUAUCCGGAUUUAUUGGGUUUAAAGGGUGCGCAGGCGGCCAUUUAAGUCAGCGGUUAAAUCGUGGGGCUCAACCCCAUUCUGCCGUUGAUACUGGGUGGCUUGAUUGCGGUCGAGGUUGGCGGAAUUCGUUGUGUAGCGGUGAAAUGCAUAGAUAUGACGAAGAACACCGAUUGCGUAGGCAGCUGACCAGACCGCAAAUGACGCUCAUGCACGAAAGUGCGGGGAUCGAACAGGAUUAGAUACCCUGGUAGUCCGCACAGUAAACGAUGAAUACUUGUUUUCGGCGAUAUAAUGUCGGAGGCAAAGCGAAAGCGAUAAGUAUUCCGCCUGGGGAGUACGCCGGCAACGGUGAAACUCAAAUGAAUUGACGGGG